This 387-nucleotide ribosomal RNA is filed under the name uncultured bacterium. RNAcentral's name for it is "bacterial SSU rRNA". It matches the Rfam family "Bacterial small subunit ribosomal RNA", at positions 28 to 416 of the family's 1533-position model. The record is from RNAcentral.
GACGAACGCUGGCGGCGUGCUUAACACAUGCAAGUCGAACGGUGACGGAGAGCUUGCUCUCCUGAUCAGUGGCGAACGGGUGAGUAACACGUGGGCAACCUGCCCAGACUUCGGGAUAACGCUUCGAAAGAGGUGCUAAUACCGGAUACGAGCUCCUUGGGCAUCCUUGGAGUUGGAAAGUUUUUCGGUCUGGGAUGGGGCCCGCGGCCUAUCAGCUAGUUGGUGAGGUAACGGCUCACCAAGGCGACGACGGGUAGCCGGCCUGAGAGGGCGACCGGCCACACUGGGACUGAGACACGGCCCAGACUCCUACGGGAGGCAGCAGUGGGGAAUAUUGCGCAAUGGGCGAAAGCCUGACGCAGCAACGCCGCGUGAGGGAUGACGGCC